RNAcentral lists this ribosomal RNA (79 nucleotides) under Escherichia coli. Its description in RNAcentral is "partial 16S ribosomal RNA". It matches the Rfam family "Bacterial small subunit ribosomal RNA", at positions 1 to 77 of the family's 1533-position model. Lineage: Bacteria; Pseudomonadati; Pseudomonadota; Gammaproteobacteria; Enterobacterales; Enterobacteriaceae. RNAcentral also lists the same sequence under 1 other name. The record is from RNAcentral.
UUAAAUUGAAGAGUUUGAUCAUGGCUCAGAUUGAACGCUGGCGGCAGGCCUAACACAUGCAAGUCGAACGGUAACAGAA